UACGGGGGGAGCAAGCGUUGUUCGGAUUUACUGGGCGUAAAGGGCGCGUAGGCGGCCAGCCAAGGUCAGUUGUGAAAUCUCCGAGCUUAACUCGGAAAGGUCAACUGAUACUGUGCGGCUAGAGUGCGGAAGGGGCAACUGGAAUUCUUGUUGUAGCGGUGAAAUGCGUAGAUAUCUGGAGGAACACCGGUGGCGAAGGCGGCAUCCUGGACCGGCAUUGACGCUGAGGCGCGAAAGCCAGGGGAGCAAACGGG
This 254-nucleotide ribosomal RNA is filed under the name uncultured bacterium. RNAcentral describes it as "partial 16S ribosomal RNA". It matches the Rfam family "Bacterial small subunit ribosomal RNA", at positions 524 to 776 of the family's 1533-position model. The record is from RNAcentral.